ACAUGUAUUUUUUUCGCUCUUGGAUCUUUGCUAUUUCACACCAAUAUGCUAUUGUACAUCAUCCAUCUGACGACUGAUAUUACUGGUGGCUUCUAAUUUUUUUGGCAUAUGGCAGGAAGAAAGCAUGAGAGUGGAUAAGCUGAUGGAAAAAAUCGGCGUGUUCUUGGGUCAUUAAAAACCUUGUGGCUGUUUUCUGCUGAUAAUGAAAGCAAACCACGUUUCUGGACCUUCCUGUACGGACUUUAUUUGGGUCUCUCUAACUAAUAGAAAAUUUUCUUUUCAUGAGUUGUUUUGGCUCAUUUAGUGCCCACUGCACAAGCAGUAGCAGAGACGAACAAUGUAAAUAUCUGCAGCACAAUGUAACUAAAGAAUACUUUAGCUUUUUAAGAAAGAAGCUUGAAUAUGGAAGUCAAAAUUCUUCAGCAGAAAAAACUCACUUCUGUCCUCAUUGCAUCAGAUUGACUGUUCAAUUUUAAGGCUGUUUUUGGACUUUCAAGCAAACCAGACAAGCGGAUUCUCGAUGUUGUGAUUGUUGAUAAUGUUUUAUUUAGCCAUUGCGGGGUAUUAUGAGGAAAUCUACAAGUUGGCAGAGGAGGGCAAAGUAGGAAAAUACAAAUAUGAAGGACAAAAUAUAUAUGGCAUCAAAUGAAAAGAGAGCUCAUAGUCUCUUUUGCCAGCUCCAGAUGACAUUAUCCUACUGCUCUAUAUUUAAUUUGCUUGGUCCUAGCAGUUCAUUAACAUCAACAAAUACUUCCCCGUAUUAACAUUACAACGAAUUAAAGUUAUAACCAUACUUAAGUUCAUUCGAAGUCGGCAAUUCACAACCUCUAUGUUGGGGACGAAAUGAGGAGGCCAUUCUCAGAAUUCAUAUGGCCACUCAAUCGUAUUGAAUUAGCAAAUUCUGUUAUUAAAGAAAAGGUGUUGUUGUCCUCUGUACUUCACUACAAUCCCAUGCUUAGAAAAUGUUUAGACACCCAAUGCGUUCCAUAUGUAUGGGCUUUUCUUAGUUUUUUUUCCAGACUAUUGGCUCAUGUGUGUUGUAUAAUCAGCUCUAUGAGUUUUUUGUGUCUCCUCUAUGUUUUGUGGAUGCAAAAUAGGAAAGAGGGAUUUCUAGUUUAUGUUGGUGCAUUGAAAUUUUAGUGUGGAACUGUAAUCUCUCUGUUUUUUACUGAGCAUUGUGAGAUGCUUUACUCUUCAUGAUGAAUUUAAUUUAAUUCAGCCUUCGGUCAGAGGCGGAUCUAGAAUUUAAAUUUUAGGGGUUCAACAUCUUAAAUUUUUAGCACUAAACCAUUAUAUUUCUAAAGUUAUGGGUUCAUAUCUACUAUUUAUUAUAAUUUUAGUAAAUUCUGACACAAAUUUAUCUCCGCAUUAAAAGUUUGGGGUUCAAUUGAACCCCAAGUUAUAGUGCUCCAUCCGCCUCUGCCUAUGGUUAUAUUUAUGUGUAGAGAGCUCAAAAAUAAUGUCACUCCUGAUAAAAUGGCAGAGGUACGGCGGGAAAAGUUUUCACCAAAUCCAGUCUCGCUCCUUCAUACAAAAAUAAAUUUAGCGAUAUAAAAUUUUAUAUUUUCCUACUUUGCCCUCCUGAAAUAUUUAAAAAAGGAGUUGCUUUAUUGUUUUGCAAAGAAAUAUAUAGAUUAGGGUGCAAAUUAUUAAAAAUAGUAGGAUAGGGUGUAAAUUACAAAAGAGAACAGACGUUAGAAGUGCAAAAUGCCAAGGACUCUAAAUAUUGUACUUCUUUUCACAAUUUUCAACAUUGUCUAACAUUAAAAAAUCAUAAAAUCCAUCCUUAAAUUUUGGGGUCUAAAAAAAUUGGGAGCCUAAAGCAAUGGCUUUACUGGCCUCACCAUUGAGCCACCUCUACUCAUGCGCCGCCCUCUGGGUCUGAUAUUCUGGCAUUGGCCUCUUCGACCAUGCACCUUGCCACUUUGUUUCGAUCACCUUCGCACUCUUUAAGCAGUUUAAUAAUAUGCUGGGGACGUGAAACAUAUUAUGCACAUUCUUGUAGCCAUGAAAGUAAUCCUUCAGAAAGCAGCCAGGUUUACAGAAUUGUUUUGCCUUCUUGCAUGCAACACGGAUCAGCCAUUGAUACAAGAAUAAAGAACAAAACAUAUGAAGUCUUGAUUAAAAGGAAAAGUAGUGGAAUGUUUAGACGCAGAAAGAA
Long non-coding RNA from Lycium ferocissimum, 2161 nucleotides. RefSeq lists it as uncharacterized. The record is from RefSeq and is a predicted model, not a curated record. Lineage: Eukaryota; Viridiplantae; Streptophyta; Magnoliopsida; Solanales; Solanaceae. The transcript has 3 exons.